Molecule: long non-coding RNA, 579 nt
Filed under: Ursus americanus (American black bear)
Lineage: Eukaryota; Metazoa; Chordata; Mammalia; Carnivora; Ursidae
Description: lncRNA (ENSUAMG00000023334.1)
Source: RNAcentral
GGACUGAUUCUUCUGCUUCAGAAACCGGCUGCGAGGUAGGGGGUUCCCAAAUGCAUCAUCAAGUCCUACAAAUAAUCAAGUGGCUAUGACUGUGUUCAUUCUCUCAGAAGUCCCAUCUGAAGAGGCAAAGCUGAGCUCUACACCAAAGACUUCUGCAUUCUGAUUUCCUUGAUGGGGAGUGAACCCUGGCACAAAACCUCAGAGGGAAGAGCAGAAUCAAAUUCCUCUGACAAAGAUGAUACACAGCUCCAGGUAAGCUCUUCCCACUCUACCCCUGCACCUUCAGGCCACACACACACGGAUCAGUGGAGUGCUCAGGGAAGUCCAAUAGGACUUGACAAGGGCAAGAGAAGAAAUGGCAUGGCAACCACACGGACCUUCUAUAGCAAAAUAAAUAUUUUGAGUGAUUGUAAUAAUGUGAUAAAGAAUUGGAAGGGAGGGGCACCUGGGUGGCGCAGUUGGUUGAGUGUCCAACUCUUGGUUUUGCCUCAGGUAUGAUCUGAGGGUCAUGGGAUCAAGCCCUGAAUCAGGCUCCAUGCUCAGCACAGAAUUCUGCUUGAGAAUCUCUCCCCCUCUCCC